RNAcentral lists this non-coding RNA (99 nucleotides) under Tepidibacillus fermentans. The record is from RNAcentral. Lineage: Bacteria; Bacillati; Bacillota; Bacilli; Caryophanales; Bacillaceae.
GAAAGCCGUAUGAUGGAAAACCUCACGUACGGUUUGAUGAGGGGAAACUGAAAUGAGUAGGACUGUUUUGGGAGGGAUAAUAUGAUCUUUGACGCUCAU